GGCACCUGCCCCUCUAUGGAGCAGUUCAGCUGUUGUGAUAGCUGAUGAGCUAAAUUUAAGCCAAAAACAAUGGUCACUGAAGACACUAGCUAUCAACUACAAUUCAACACUUAAUGUCAGUGGCUGCAGUGCACAGAAACCACGUGUGUGGCAUCUGCAUGGGGGAUGGCACUGACUUGCCCCAUGACACAUGCAGAAGAGAAGCACUGUCUGACUGGCACUGUCUACACUUGGCCCAGGAUUCUCACCCAGGGAAUAAACAAAAAGCGUCUUCGAGGCAGAGGGGAGAAGUCCCCAGCUGGCUUACAGGCCUGGGCAGAUACCAUGUAGUGCUGUCAAGCCCCCUCACAAAGCAGUGUCCUCUUUUUCUUCCCAAAUCUCUGCCAUCCUUUAUCCUGUCCCAGAUGUCCUUUCACAACUGCCCAGUCCCACCUGAUUCAUGUUUGUAAUACUCUCAAUUAAAAAAUUAGUAAUUAAAAUGAAGCCCUCUUUUCCCAUAUUACUCCCAGCCAUUACACUGCUCCAUCUGCCCAUUCCAGAUCCCUUCUUGUUUUUAAAAGACUCAUUAGCAUGUGAUCUUGUCUCUGCCAGGAUUCCCCAGUGCCAUCUGCUCCCUUCCUAGAUGAUCAGUCUCACUCAGAUCACUGUUUACCGCACUUAAAAAUAUGACACAUUUUCUAAGCACCGGUCUUGGAGGAUGCUGUUGUGUUUCUCUACCAAAGUCAGUGGCUAUCAGUCUCUUGCCACAUUGAUCCUUGUCCUUAGAUGCCCUGAUGCAUUCCCAGAACUCUGGGGGUUUUGUGGUGGCAGCAGAUCUGUGUCCCUUAGGCUAUACAACCACAUGCUGUGCUAUAAUUUGUUUAAGACAUUUAGCACCUCCCCAAAUUCAGCAUCCUCUUUGUGGGAACAAUUUGUGUCCAUCUUAAUUCUUGCAGCAUAAAAUUACUAAAUUCAUGUUGUAUUGCUUUGAAGAGUUUUUAAAAAAAGAUUUUUCAUGCAUUUCACCUAUUGGUCCUCAUGGUUAUUUUCAUGCAUG
This is a non-coding RNA of Cyanistes caeruleus (blue tit), 1036 nucleotides long. The record is from RefSeq and is a predicted model, not a curated record. Lineage: Eukaryota; Metazoa; Chordata; Aves; Passeriformes; Paridae.